Molecule: ribosomal RNA, 305 nt
Filed under: uncultured bacterium
Lineage: Bacteria
Description: bacterial SSU rRNA
Rfam family: Bacterial small subunit ribosomal RNA
Source: RNAcentral
UUACCUACGGGAGGCAGCAGUGGGGAAUAUUGCACAAUGGGGGAAACCCUGAUGCAGCGACGCCGCGUGAGUGAAGAAGUAUUUCGGUAUGUAAAGCUCUAUCAGCAGGGAAGAAAAUGACGGUACCUGAUUAAGAAGCCCCGGCUAACUACGUGCCAGCAGCCGCGGUAAUACGUAGGGGGCAAGCGUUAUCCGGAUUUACUGGGUUUAAAGGGUGCGUAGGCGGACUGUUAAGUCAGCGGUAAAAGCCCGGGGCUCAACCCCGGCGAGCCGUUGAAACUGGCUGUCUUGAGAUGUCGAGAGGG